AAGCACGAUUACGAACUAUAACAUUUACAGGUUUAUGAGAGGACUUAGAAGUAAUAGAUCGAUCAGAAGAAAAACCAUGCGGUACGGUGAUGGGUACCAAGCCUAUUCUUUUAAACUCUAUUUGAUGCCUUAAGAAAUCGUAAGUAUAAGGCCGGGUUUGCUCAGGACGUCUAGGGCGAAAAUCUCUUUUAACAACAACCGCUUCGUGUUCG
Molecule: non-coding RNA, 212 nt
Organism: Schizosaccharomyces pombe (fission yeast)
Lineage: Eukaryota; Fungi; Ascomycota; Schizosaccharomycetes; Schizosaccharomycetales; Schizosaccharomycetaceae
Source: the annotation of a GenBank genome assembly